UUAUCAAAGAGGGAAGCAUAUGAAGACCAGCUCAAGAUUAAGAAGUCCUAUGAUGAAUUCGCAGGACAUUAGGCAGAAAGAGACAAUGCCACAAUAGGGACUAAGAGUUUUCUCUUUGUACAAGAACAACUAGAUGUGCCCAAUUAUGCUGUAGAUUACUUAGUAUUUUCCUUAGCAUCUUUUUCUUUAGAUGAGAAAGCUACAAAAAGUGCAUAUUUGAUGACGAAUCCUCUCGAAAGGGGGGGAUGAUGUGAUAUAACUGAGAAAAAGCCUAAUGACAAACAUGAAGUUCCUGUGACAAAUGAAUGGGGGAAAAGAUUAAGCAUUAAUGUGCUUCCUGCACACACUUGAAAGUGUUCCUGAACAAAAAAUACCCAAGAUGAAUCCACCUAAGUAUAGGCCCAAGGUAGUGAAUCCAAAGUAAAUGGAUUUAGACCUUGGCCCAAUAAGAGGCAAAAUUAAAAAAGACAGG
RNAcentral lists this long non-coding RNA (472 nucleotides) under Carica papaya (papaya). Its description in RNAcentral is "long non-coding RNA (CPAP_LNC009980)". The record is from RNAcentral. Lineage: Eukaryota; Viridiplantae; Streptophyta; Magnoliopsida; Brassicales; Caricaceae.